This 934-nucleotide ribosomal RNA is filed under the name uncultured Bacillota bacterium. RNAcentral's name for it is "bacterial SSU rRNA". It matches the Rfam family "Bacterial small subunit ribosomal RNA", at positions 1 to 917 of the family's 1533-position model. Lineage: Bacteria; Bacillati; Bacillota. The record is from RNAcentral.
GCCAUGGCGGCGGGAUUGGAUCCAGACUUUGAUUCUGGCUCAGGACGAGCGCUGGCGGCGUGCCUAACACAUGCAAGUCGAACGAAGAUGCAUCUCAGAUCCCUUCGGGGUGACGAGAUGCAGACUUAGUGGCGGACGGGUGAGUAAUGUAUGAGCAACCUGCCUUCAAGAGGGGAAUAACAGUCGGAAACGACUGCUAAUACCGCAUAAUAAAGCGUAGUCGCAUGACAAUGCUUUCAAAGGAGCAAUCCGCUUGAAGAUGGGCUCAUAUCUGAUUAGAUAGUUGGUGAGGUAACGGCUCACCAAGUCUGCGAUCAGUAGCCGGACUGAGAGGUUGAACGGCCACAUUGGAACUGAGAUACGGUCCAGACUCCUACGGGAGGCAGCAGUGGGGAAUAUUGGGCAAUGGGCGAAAGCCUGACCCAGCAACGCCGCGUGAAGGAAGAAGGUCUUCGGAUUGUAAACUUUUGUCUUAUGGGACGAUAAUGACGGUACCAUAGGAGGAAGCCACGACUAACUACGUGCCAGCAGUCGCGGUAAUACGUAGGUGGCGAGCGUUAUCCGGAUUUAUUGGGCGUAAAGGGAACGCAGGCGGUCUUUUAAGUCUGAUGUGAAAGCCUUCGGCUUAACCUGAGUAGUGCAUUGGAAACUGGGAGACUUGAGUGCAGAAGAGGAGAGUGGAACUCCAUGUGUAGCGGUGAAAUGCAUAGAUAUCGGGAGGAACACCAGUGGCGAAGGCGGCUUGCUGGGCUUUUACUGACGCUGAGGCACGAAAGUGUGGGGAGCAAACAGGAUUAGAUACCCUGGUAGUCCACACCGUAAACGAUGAUUACUAGGUGUAGGCCGGCUGAACCGGUCUGUGCCGCAGUUAACACAAUAAGUAAUCCACCUGGGGAGUACGGCCGCAAGGUUGCAACUCAAAGGAAUUGACGGA